Molecule: ribosomal RNA, 253 nt
Filed under: uncultured bacterium
Lineage: Bacteria
Description: partial 16S ribosomal RNA
Rfam family: Bacterial small subunit ribosomal RNA
Source: RNAcentral
UACGAAGGGUGCAAGCGUUAAUCGGAUUUAUUGGGCGUAAAGGGCGUGUAGGCGGAAAAGAUAGUCAGAUGUGAAAUCCCAGAGCUUAACUCUGGAACUGCAUCUGAAACUCCUUUUCUGGAGGGUAGACGGAGAAAGUGGAAUUCCACGUGUAGCGGUAAAAUGCGUAGAUAUGUGGAAGAAUACCGGUGGCGAAGGCGACUUUCUAGUUUAUUCCUGACGCUGAGGCGCGAAAGCAAGGGGAGCAAACAGG